This 913-nucleotide ribosomal RNA is filed under the name uncultured marine archaeon. RNAcentral's name for it is "bacterial SSU rRNA". It matches the Rfam family "Archaeal small subunit ribosomal RNA", at positions 1 to 921 of the family's 1478-position model. The record is from RNAcentral.
UUCCGGUUGAUCCCGCCGGACCUGACUGCUAUCGGAUUGAUACUAAGCCAUGCAAGUCUUUGUAGUAAUACAAGGCAUACGGCUCAGUAACGCGUAGUCAACCUACCCUAUGGAUGAGGAUAAUCUCGGGAAACUGAGCAUAAUACUCAACAGAUCAUCAAUUCUGGAAUGGUUGAUGAUUCAAAUGAUUUUUCGCCAUAGGAUGGGACUGCGACCUAUCAGCUUGUUGGUGAGGUAAUGGCCCACCAAGGCAAUUACAGGUACGGGCUCUGAGAGGAGAAGCCCGGAGAUGGGUACUGAGACAAGGACCCAGGCCCUAUGGGGCGCAGCAGGCGAGAAAACUUUGCAAUGUGCGAAAGCACGACAAGGUUAAUCCGAGUGAUUUCUGCUAAAGGAAUCUUUUACCAGUUCUAAAAAUACUGGUGAAUAAGGGGUGGGCAAGUUCUGGUGUCAGCCGCCGCGGUAAAACCAGCACCUCAAGUGGUCAGGAGGAUUAUUGGGCCUAAAGCAUCCGUAGCCGGCUCUGUAAGUUUUCGGUUAAAUCUAUAUGCUCAACAUAUAGGCUGCCGAAAAUACUGCACAGCUAGGGAAUGGGAGAGGUAGACGGUACUCGGUAGGAAGGGGUAAAAUCCUUUGAUCUAUCGAUGACCACCUGUGGCGAAGGCGGUCUACCAGAACAUGUUCGACGGUGAGGGAUGAAAGCUGGGGGAGCAAACCGGAUUAGAUACCCGGGUAGUCCCAGCUGUAAACGAUGCAGACUAGAUAAUGCACUGGCACAUAGCCAGUGCAGUGUCUCAGGGAAGCCGUUAAGUCUGCCGCCUGGGAAGUACGUACGCAAGUAUGAAACUUAAAGGAAUUGGCGGGGGAGCACCACAAGGGGUGAAGCCUGCGGUUCAAUUGGAGUCAACGCCGG